Molecule: ribosomal RNA, 482 nt
Filed under: uncultured bacterium
Lineage: Bacteria
Description: bacterial SSU rRNA
Rfam family: Bacterial small subunit ribosomal RNA
Source: RNAcentral
GAUGAACGCUGGCGGCGUGCCUAACACAUGCAAGUCGAACGAAGCGAUCAAGAUGAAGUUUUCGGAUGAAUUCGAGAUUGACUGAGUGGCGGACGGGUGAGUAACGCGUGGGUAACCUGCCUCAUACAGGGGGAUAACAGUUAGAAAUGACUGCUAAUACCGCAUAAGCGCACAGUAUCGCAUGAUACAGUGUGAAAAACUCCGGUGGUAUGGGAUGGACCUGCGUCUGAUUAGCUAGUUGGUGAGGUAACGGCCCACCAAGGCGACGAUCAGUAGCCGACCUGAGAGGGUGACCGGCCACAUUGGGACUGAGACACGGCCCAAACUCCUACGGGAGGCAGCAGUGGGGAAUAUUGGGCAAUGGGGGAAACCCUGACCCAGCAACGCCGCGUGAAGGAAGAAGGCUUUCGGGUUGUAAACUUCUUUUACCAGGGACGAAGAACGUGACGGUACCUGGAGAAAAAGCAACGGCUAACUACGUG